GGCUUCCGCCGCCGCUGCCGGCUGCUCCCCGCCCUGCCGCUUCGUCGUUUACCCGCCAUGACGCGUUUCUGCGUCGUCCAGGGAAAAAAGGGGCCGGGAGGGGGCCGCUGUCGCGUGUGGUGCGCGUCAUGAGCGACGGGGAGCGUGUGCCAUACUUGUGGGCAUUAAAUAUUUGUACUGCAGCUUAAUAAAACUGGGACUGAAAUCUGAAGGAUGGCAGCAAAUCCUUCAGGACAAGGUUUCCAGAAUAAAAAUAGAGUUGCAAUCCUGGCAGAGCUAGACAAGGAGAAGAGAAAGUUACUUAUGCAAAACCAGUCUUCCACAAAUCACCCUGGAGCCAGCAUUGCGCUUGCAAGAUCCCCGCUGAACAAGGAUUUCCGUGAUCAUGCUGAGCAACAGCACAUUGCAGCACAGCAGAAGGCAGCACUGCAGUUUUACAGAUGCAGAAAAAUGCAGAAGGGCUGCAGUGCCUGCAAGUACCCACAAAGCCUGUGGUCAGGAUUAGCAGACAGUGAUUUGUGAGGCACCAUCUGGAGACUACUGCUCUGCAUCCCACACCUGCAGCUGGCUCCUCUUCCCCUCGCCCUCAGAGACACAGAGCUCUUCGGCUUUCGGUUUAUCUUUGCUCUCACGGGCUGCUCUGUCUUAUGAAGAAACACUGCUUGCAAGUGAGAAAAGAGACAUCAAAUUGCCAAACUCAAGGACAUCAGACAAAGGAAAAUGACAUGCUGUGAGACAAAAUCAAGACAAACUUCUUCCAAAAGCACUUGCUACUACCUGGAACAUCUUGCUCCUUUUGAAGAGGUCUGGAUCCAGCCAUGUGACAGACUCACGGCCUCAGGGAGGCUUGUACCCAGGCGGCCCUAUCCGCUGAAUGGGCAAAGAUAAGGGAGCGCCAGGUCCGCCUCACAGGGCAGGUGCCUGUGAUCCUGGGCCUUGGACAUGCAGUGGCCACACUGCAAUGCUGCAUCAAGAUGAGAUCAGGGUGUUUACCCUCCAACAAGCCCAGGUUUCUCCAGGGCAAGCUGAGGUCCCCUCCAGUAGAUCCUCUAACCUGUGCUGUCACAGUGUCUGGACCCUGGAGCCUACCACAGAGCAUGCCUGACCCACCAAGCAAAUGCAGCCACAGGGGACUAAUGCCAUCCUGAAGCUGAGCAAAGAAAUUAAGGACAAGAACUUCAAUACUACAAGUACCACAGGACUCCAAGGGUAACACUUUCAGAGAUUACGGGAAAGCCACUGGGCAUUUGGUGCCUGCUGUGAACGCCUUAGGAAACCUCACUGUGACUGUGCUUACUGCCAAUGGCCAUCAAAAGUCCCAAUCUGGGAACUGCUCAGUGAUAGUGACUGCAAAAGGAGCUCCAGGAGGCCAGCACCUCUAAAGAACAGGUCACUUGAUUAGUUAUCUGCUCUGCUCUGAUCUGAUCUAAUCUGAGGCUAAUUUCUUGAGGUACUCAGGCUUAGUGUUCAGACAGUUUCAUCAGUCUCUUUCGAAGACAAAUUAACCCAGUCUCAGCCCAGCUUCUGCUUUUCAUCAGUCUCAACUGCUGAUUUGCUCUGCAGGACUCAGUAUGGUAUUUUUCGUCAGGGAAUGCCCCAUCAUCAGUGAAACCUGGGAAAAUAAUGAGGAACAGCAUUCUUCUGGAAGCAAUACCCACAGUAUGUUGUACUCUGUCCCAUGUGCCUCCCUGACUUAAAUCAAAUUGAAGCAGAAGCUCCUGUCUCCACCGCCAUCACAUGAGCUUGCCUGGACAUGCUAAAUGUCCUGCAGCUCCUCCAGUAAAGGCUGCUAAGAUUUGCCAGGAUCAGACUCUUAAUAAACAAAAGCGCUGAUGGUGGGAAAUAAUGCUCACAGCUUGUGGGGGGUGUAGGUAGCAGCUUUUAUUGGAUGUUUCCUCUGCUAAAGUUGAUGCUACUCUUUACUUCAAGAUCCAGUGAACGAAUAUCUUUAAAAUAAUGCUGUGCUCAAACAUUCAAAAGACAGGAGCAAAACUAUGUUUUAGAACUCAUGGAUAACAGAUAGAUCCUAGAAACCAAGCUAAUACAUUUUAAAAAAACAUGUUCAGUAUUAGGAGGAAGGGAGAAAUUGUCUUCCAAAAGAAUACAUCUAAAUGCAAUUGUUGUAUUUUUGUAAUCAUGUAACUAUGUAAUCAUGUAACUAUCAGACAGGAGCUGUGAUUUCAAGGCAUUGCACAGUCCUGGCAAACCCGUGACUCUACAGUGAGCUCUAUAUGUCUUUGUGUUCCUUAACCUUUUCACAGCCCUGCGCUCCUGUGGGAAGAAACAGUCACAUAUUUUGCAGCAGCAGACUGCACAGUGUCAGAUUGCACAUGUCCCCCAGCUGUUUUAGCUCUUCCAUGUGUUCUUUUCUUGUGCUUAAAUGAUUGUCACAGCUUCCACUGAAAUCAAAAGGAGCUUUCCCCUCACCUUCAAAAGAAACUGGACCAGGUCUUAGUUGUAAAGCUGAAGGCAAUUACUUUUACAACUGACUAGUGAUUUUUGAGAGUUACGUCAUUUAGAUUUCAGACCUGAGAUACCUUAAAGUGCCUUGAUUUUCAAAAAAUAUUGAUCAUUCUAUGUCUGAUUUAAGCGCUCUUUUAAGAUAUUUCAAAUCUCAGACACCCAAAAAAUACUAAUUUUUGGGUUAAAUGUCACUGCACUGUCUGAAAAUACUGUCCUUUGGUGAUGCUGUAAUAAGAUUAAUUUGUUAUUUGGUAAAUCCAGUGAUAGUUUCUAGCAGUACCUACAGAUCCAGUGUAAAUGACAUUGGUACUGGAAAAAUAUCUAUAUAUACAAUAUACCAAAUGAGUGGAGAAAACAUCAAAAAAAUGAUUCACAAGAAAAUAACCUUGGUACAGUAGCUAAAAAAGAAAAUGUAGGCACUUCUUCUUCAAGAGUUCUCAGACUUCGAAACUGAGCUUCCUUUUUGCCAGAUGCGCUUGCUAAGGAGAAAAAUCCAUGAUACACGUUACUUCCUCCUUACAGGAAAAAGUUGUCAGCCAGUUCUUUGCUCAGUAAGCUGACCCCAAAUUUGGAAAAGUUGAAGGAGACAGCAGUGAGGCAUCACUGCCUCACAGCUAUCUGUGGAAAGCUGCCACGGUCUUGCUCUUUCAUCAGGACUGGCCCCCAGCUCUUCGCAAUGAGGUUCUAUUAAUCCACUAAAUGGGAAAGCAGCAUGUGCGGUCCUCCUCAGGGAGUAUUUAAUGCCCUUCUUUCUACUUUUUGCUGCUGCUGUUUAAAAGCAGCUCACCUUCUUCACAACACACUAUAGCUACUGGGAAAUCACUUUCUUGGCCAGUCCUCGAGAAAAAGCUGUGUGAAAAGGCACUGUAUUUAUCUGCUUUCCUUACUCCUAUAGCAUUCUUGUGUCUGCUGCAAUAUACCAUCUCAAUAAUAUGUAUAUUAACACACAUCUGGAAAUAUCGUAGUAUUCUUCAUUUUGUCAGUAACAGCUUCUGCAAUAAGGAUCCAAGCAAAUUCUUAGCAGGCUUUUGCUUUUCUCUUUGUCUCUAUAGUUCGGGCUACUGAAGUAUCCUCCUCCAGCUCAGUGCCAUUCCUGUACAGCAGGCUGGACGUGUUUGCUGUUAGCAGAUGGAGGACAUUGCUACUGGAAGGAGUUAAGAGAGCCAAACUUCCUGGAAGCCUGAGUGAAAGAGACAAAAGUAAAAUUCUCACAGUGCUCCAGUUUCACUUUCUUUGCCAGCUUGGGGACGAUGCCGCGGAGGGAACGGAGCCCCAUCCUCUGCUCCUCGUACCACACGUUUCCCAUGCCACUAACCUCCUUCCGGGCGGUCAGGUAGAACGGAGACUUGGCCUCCAUCUGGCCUGGGGGCCGGUGUACGUACAUGUACUUGUAGAGGAGGCAGUAAGGGCAGAGCUUGUGUCCUUUCGAGUGCUCGUGGUAUAUCUGGCCAUAACACACUUUAUUUGCGCUCACCCUGUUUUCUCGCUUCACACUAUCCGUUCUGGCAAAAAAAGGCCUGUUUUGGGAGUCUUUGAGCAAUUCAAUGUCACCAAACAUCAAGUCCGCGUGCUCCUGUAACGUUCGCAUGUUCAGGUACUGGCUGUUGUAUUUUACCACUGUGGACAGCAGAGCUACGGGGCUGCUGUCACCCAGGCAUCCUGUCCUCCACAUCUCUUCCUCGUCAGAAAGGGAGAAGUAGACGACGUUGCGAGAGCGGGCACCAGACAUCCCAGCCCUGCUCAGGACCCUAAGCUUCUCCUUGAGCUUCUUGGUGGAAGAGCUGAAGGCGCUGCUGCUGAUGGAGAAACCCACACCCGCGUUCUUCAGGAUGCGGUCCAGGCCUCGGCGGAUAGCGUGGAGGGACGUGGCUAGGAAGUCUGAUCCGUCUGUUUUCUUCACCGUGAUGUAAAAAUCCUCCAGGAGUUCAUUCAGCUUCACAGCUGGGAUCUGGAACAAGAGGAAAGUGAAAGAUGUGUCAGCAUGCUUGUGUGCAAGGAGACACACUGCAGGUGUGGAAGAUGCACUUCUAAGGUUUCUUCAUGCUCUCUCUGGGGAAACCUGCUGAGGGCUUCCAGGCUUCCCCAGAAAUCUGGUUUUGGGCAGCCUUAGAGUCUUGGGAAGAAGUUACAUGUUUAGCUGAGCAAAAGAGAUGAGAUGAGAUGAAAGCCCAUGGUGUAAGGAUGCCCUGGCUGAACAGACCCAUUUCACUGGCUGGCACCUCUUUCCUACCAGCAGUGACUGAAAAAAAAGCAGCUGAAUUUUUGAUCUUCUUGAAGUGAAUGGUUUCAGCACUGAGGUGUCACUGUAUGCAAAUGUCUGACCUAUGACUUGAACCUCAGGUUCUGUGCUUUUCCAGUAAUGUUCUAGUUGUGGAAACUUUCCAGUCCUACUUUGCACUGACAUGUAUUAACAAUCUUCAUAAUCUCUUAAUUAAAGUGAAGAAUUAAGCUGAUCAUAAUGAGGUGCUUGGAGUUACAGGAGGCAAGGAGAGACAAUGUUGCCUUUGAUUCCUUGAAUAUGAGAAUUAAGAAACAUGGAGAAAUGAAAAAAGAGAGAGAAAGAGGGAGAGAGAGAGAGAAAGAGAGAGAGAGAAACCCCCCAGCAUUUUCCCUGUGGGAUCACAGUGCUUCUUUGGGCCAUAAGAUGUCACUAUUGCAUUCAGACUGGGUUGACCUACAGGCACAAGGUUCAUACAAAGCCCUCUACAAAAGCAUUGCAGACAACGUAGAGGACGGCACAUUUAUGUACCUGCAGUCUUCCCACAGCGUAGGAGACCUAGGCACUUGCAGUGCGGGCCCCUGACCUUGGCAGCCAAGGGCUUGGGGACAAUUUGGCAGCCAAACAGCAUGCCACCUCCCUGAAGCUCAACCACCACUCCUAAUAGGUUGAGGGAGCAAUAUUUUGUCUCUGCACCACUAAGAUGCCUACGAGCCGCAGCUGUGUGGUCUGCCACUAGUCUAGCAUGACCGAAGCACAUCUGCAAUACCCUUCGAGGAGGUGUUGCAUCUCCUCACCUGUAUAUACUGAAUACUAGUAUCUGGGGUGCUGCUCUCUCCUCUGAAAGCUCUCCUUUGUCAUACGGGAGUUUUAUGUUGGUCACUCUCCCUCACUCACACUUCAUUCUCCUCACGCGAAGAAAUGUCUUAGAUCAACCUAACAAAGAAACUUAGUUUAAGAAAUGUGAGUGGGGCUUUCUGUACUUUUCUGGACGGGGGUCUUAGACACAGUUCUUACUUUGAUGUGUAGAUUGAUUUUGCUGGGAGUUCAUUUUGGAAGUAAACUCCUUAAAUGCUUUGAAUUGCAGUGGCUAGGUCUCAGAGCAGAAAUCAUGUCUUCAAGAGACAAAUGCUGAGUUGUUUGGGUAACAACAGGAAAUCUAGUCACAUGGCAUCAUGAGGACAAAGUUGGGUAAAUGUUUUACAUACCGAGAAAUCUUUUGUAUCACUUCGGGUUUCCAAGCUACUGGGUCACCCGUAAAAGCAAUAAGGUGUAAAUUAGAAAAGAUUAUAGCUUUAUGAGAGAAACUUGGAAGGUCCCCGAGACCACAAGAACCUAAAGAAGGCUGAAAUCCCAUCUCUUUCCAAUGCUGCUUCUCCAAAAUUUAUGACAACUUCAUUUGACAAGAUGGGCUGGUUUCAACCUCUGAACAAGCUGUAUUUUGCUAAGUUUUCUGACCUUAGUGAUGUCCAUGUAAUCCCUGAGUCCUCUGGUCAUGCACCAGUAUCUCCACACGUUGAGAGCAUAGAGGGUAGCCUUGGUGGUGUUGGGGCUCACAGCACUGAUACACAGGUACUUGAGGUCGUCGUCAAAAUUAAAGACAGGAAACUUGUUGAGCUUAGUUGAGUAUGCUAGAAAACAAAGAAAGCGCAUAAAAAUACCUUGGCCUAGUGACACAUUAAAUCUGGCUAAGAGCAACCUGGAGUUGUUCACAAAGUGUGAGGAUUGUAAGAAAGAUGAAAUAGAGGAUCCCCAGGAAGAUUGCCCACAAGUUUGUCCACCUCAGCUGUGGUAGAAGGGUCUGAUGUGCAGCCGCCCUGAAUUUGCCUCAGAGCUAAGAAUUUACUGGCAUACACAGCUAGUAAUAGCGAAGGAGUAACAGAGGAUGUUUUACUUUGUUGAGGAAGAAAACAGUGGGUCAGUGGCAAUGGCAAAAGUUUUUCCCUUAGGAGUUGACUGAGGAGGAGGUGAAAAAAACUCACGCUAUUCCUAUAUAGCCUGAUCCUGUGCUGCAUGUGCUUCACACUAUCAGUUUGUGCAAACUGGACAUGCAGUGCUAAGCAGGAUUUUUCCACUUACACCUGCUUUCUAAUCUCUAUAAAACGCAACAGAAUCAGGCCCUAUUGCUUCAGUGGACCAAAGCAAGGUGCAUUUUGAUGAAUGUUAUGAGCUAGGUGGAGAUGCUUGGUGUGCAUUUCUUAAAAGGAGAACAUCAGCCUCACAGGUGGGAACUGAAAGGAGAGGAUUGAUGAAGAACCUUCUUGUAGAUGUUCAGACACUUAAUGUCACUUAUGAAAGAGUAAUACAUUUUUAUGGUAUCACUAUAAUUUUAUUAGAUCCACUAUACUUUAAAUGUACUUUUUACUGGCCCAAAGCCAAUCGAUUCAGCAGCCCAAGGAAUGUCAGCCCUGACAGGGUACUCUGAACAUCUGUGCACCAAGCUGAUGAACCAAGGGCUGCCAGCUCAGCUCAGCAGGCAAAGGUGUGCACUCAGGAGGAGGGAGCUGCCAGAUUUCUCCCACUAACCUUCAACUCUGCAGCCACAGAUGAGUUUCUGCAGACCUAAAGGUAUGGCAAACAUUCUGCAAAUUGGGAAGAGGUAAUUUUUUAAGAAAUUUCAAUGGUUGCAGCUUUUGAUGUUUAAACAGUAAACAGAAGGUAAAGGAACUGUAUAAAUCUAGGUGAAGAACCCACUGCAAACAAAACAAACAAGAAAGCUGAAUGGAUACUUCAUGCAAUGGCUAAUGACAUAAACUUGCUGUCUGACCCUUUGGGAUCUGGCCAGCCCUAGAAUGAGGGUGCUCAAUAUGUGGUCCGUGGACCCUUGACAGCCCAUAGCCUUAAGAGUCCAAGAAAGAUUGCUGGGAAAAGCACGCUAUGCAGAGGGCACAUCUAAACAACCCACAUUGCCAUGCAAGCCCAUCCAAGGCACCGAAGAGUGGAAAACACUGAAAACUGCUCUUCUAGGAUGGAAAGCACUGAGAGCAAGCAGAGGUCUCACAGUGUGAGGGGACUCUUCCUUCCUUCCAAACACAACAGCUGCCUAGUGGACAGAAAAAGGGCUUAUUUGGAACUGAAAGGUAGGCUGCAAGGAUUUUCUUCUAAACUGGGCUGUGUUUACAAACUCUGUUCAUGGCAAAUGACACUCUUCAGUCUAUACUUUUCUUUUGGUGCCUGCUGUUUGUAGUGUCCAGCAGCUGCCUUGUUCUCUUCUUAGCUCAGGGGAUCUUGCUGCAGAACAUGCAGCUAUCUAAGAAAUUAAUGGAGCAUAAACUAGGAUGGAAGUUCCUUUGGUCAGUGGUUUCACAGGCUCUUCCUGCUGAAUUUCUAGGUGGACAAAUCUGCUAAAGAAAGGCCAGGAUACUCAGAAAAAUUAUGAGUUGUUCAGCCACUAGCAUUCUCCUCAUCAAGAGGAGAUGCUUCUGGAAGGGGUCAUUGCCACCACUCAUUGGAAAGACAACGGCUAGCCUUGCACACCCCCCGCAUUCACAGAGGGAGGUCUUCUCACCCCUGUGGCAGAGGCCAUUGCAGCUGGCCUGUCUCCCAGUUCCCGUGACCCUGCAUUCAUGAAGCUCAGGUUACAGCCUGGCAGCCCCCAGAGCUGCCCCGAGAUGCCAGGACUGCCCUGCAGCGCCCCGGGUGCACUUGGGUCUGUUCCCUCGCUGCCCAGCGCAGGUCCACAGGAUGACAAUUCCUGCACUGAGUGUGGAUAGACAACAUCUGAGUCAAGACUUAGGACCAGCCAGCAGUCCACACCGCCAUCGCAGCAGCUUCAGACACCUUUGUGCCCUCAGGCCUUGCUACAGUGCUCUUGCAAUGGUCAUUCAGGCACUGUUCACCUCCCACCAAUAAGGAAAUCUUAGGUCAAAUCUCCGUAAAUCCUCUCUUCCUGUGUCUGAUGACCUUGAACCAUCUGGAUAUUUGCCAAGCCCAUUUACUCUCAGUACUCACUCCCCUACCAUAUUUCCCCCAAAGUUGCCUGCUACUCAGCUUCCAAGAUACCAUCUGCAAAGCUAUCAUAGGCUCACGCUGCUGGCCAGCCCAUGGACUGUUUCUGAGAGCACGAAGAACUCCCUGGAAAACCAAGCCCACUGUGAUUAAGGUCCUAGUCAUACAAAACAAAUUCCCCUGGAAAAUGUAAGAGCACUAACGUCACUGAAGUUCACCUGCGGAAAUUAGUCUCACAGGUACAUAAUUUCUGACAGGCCUAGGUUUGAAAACUGUAGCCUGUGUUGCCUGAACCACAGUAUCACUAGGACAGCUUAUGCAACUGCAACAGAAGACACACUUAGAUUGUUUCUGCCUUUCCAAGGCGCAGUUUAUCAUGUACUGUUAAGUUGUAGUUCUUGAUUUCUCCGAAUUGCAGAUUUUCAAACUGUGGGCUUCUGGUUUGGGCUGACCUCUGAUACUUGACAGUGAUAACAAUAACAGCUUGUAAUCAGUGUUGCUCCAGUCCUGAACUGAGACAGUGAACAAAGCACUGCACGAGAACAGACUAAACAGACGGUCAUUAAAGGACAUUUCAUAUCUUGUGCAUGGUGAUGCCUAUUAAAGUCUACAUCACACUUCUAUUUUUCUCCUCAUCAGACACCUUGCCCCUUCUUAAGAAACUAUUAAAAUCACUUUGAGUUGUUACUAUGGCUGGAAAGUGUAGCCAGUUCAGAAAGCAAUGGCUUCUCUGAUCAGUGUGUAGCUCUGAUAUUUGUAGUAAAAGAGCCUUGGUGUAAUAAAAUCAAAACAAAAUAAAACAAUGACAUUAAAAUGG
Molecule: RNA transcript, 9446 nt
Organism: Dromaius novaehollandiae (emu)
Lineage: Eukaryota; Metazoa; Chordata; Aves; Casuariiformes; Dromaiidae
Gene: INIP
Gene name: INTS3 and NABP interacting protein
Exons: 7
Source: RefSeq, a predicted model, not a curated record